AGGCAUGGUACAAGUAAUAUGAAGAUCAGAGUUGUUUUCUCCUGUAGCUUCCAUCAGAGUUAUACAAUUUGAACUAGUCACAUUCUGUGCUGGAUCCUGCAAUAGUAAGACAAUAUUGUAAACUCUAUCAGAAGCAAAUAUAUAAAUGAAAUAACACUUUAUAUAAAUUUGCUGCAUCUGAAGUGCUUUUGAAAAAACCAAAAAUUUGAAAGCUAAAAGAUGUUUAAGUACCUAAACAUGUGGAGUGCUCAACUAAAAUAAAUAGCCACAUCUAUCUAAAGUCAACUUUGCCUGAAGGAGUUGGAACCUUUUCUAAUAACUGUACAAGGUUAUUGUUUCUCAUCCUCAUAAAUAUCAUAAAUGUUCAAUUCAACGUAGAAAUACAAAAAAUCAGUUAGUGACGCCAAAUUAAAUUAUAUAUGCCACACUCUGACAUAGUAUAAACAUAAAAUAUUUAACAUUGACCCUAAAACAUUGUCCACAAAAUAAUUUUAUUUUUACAGUCAAAUCAGUUAUUAAGGUUACUUCUUUUAAGUAUAAACCUGUUUGGCAGGUCACCCUCUAACAGUCCAGAUGUAGUAAUACAUAGGCAUUAAGUAUAAACCUGUUUGGCAGGUCACCCUCUAACAGUCCAGAUGUAGUAAUACAUAGGCAUUAAGUAUAAACCUGUUUGGCAGGUCACCCUCUAACAGUCCAGAUGUAGUAAUACAUAGGCAUUAAGUAUAAACCUGUUUGGCAGGUCACCCUCUAACAGUCCAGAUGUAGUAAUACAUAGGCAUUAAGUAUAAACCUGUUUGGCAGGUCACCCUCUAACAGUCCAGAUGUAGUAAUACAUAGGCAUUAAGUAUAAACCUGUUUGGCAGGUCACCCUCUAACAGUCCAGAUGUAGUAAUACAAAGGCAUUAAGUAUAAACCUGUUUGGCAGGUCACCCUCUAACAGUCCAGAUGUAGUAAUACAAAGGCAUUUUGAACUUCAAUUCAAUGAUCACCUCUCUUAUAAUGUCAUCUUUCUUUGGUCCUGUGGAUGACCUUUAUGUACUAGUUUUUUUAUUGCAUCAUUCACUGUAAGUAAAGGUACCUUUCUAUCACUUUUCUGAAAGUCUUUUCGAGAUUGUUAAUAUGUAAUGU
Long non-coding RNA from Mytilus californianus (California mussel), 1128 nucleotides. RefSeq lists it as uncharacterized. NCBI's taxonomy places the organism in Eukaryota, Metazoa, Mollusca, Bivalvia, Mytilida, Mytilidae. The transcript has 3 exons. The record is from RefSeq and is a predicted model, not a curated record.